RNAcentral lists this ribosomal RNA (506 nucleotides) under uncultured bacterium. RNAcentral's name for it is "partial 16S ribosomal RNA". It matches the Rfam family "Bacterial small subunit ribosomal RNA", at positions 29 to 523 of the family's 1533-position model. The record is from RNAcentral.
AGUGAACGCUGGCGGUAGGCCUAACACAUGCAAGUCGAACGGCAGCACAGGAGAGCUUGCUCUCUGGGUGGCGAGUGGCGGACGGGUGAGGAAUACAUCGGAAUCUACUCUGUCGCGGGGGAUAACGUAGGGAAACUUACGCUAAUACCGCAUACGACCUACGGGUGAAAGCAGGGGAUCUUCGGACCUUGCGCGAUUGAAUGAGCCGAUGUCGGAUUAGCUAGUUGGUGGGGUAAAGGCCCACCAAGGCGACGAUCCGUAGCUGGUCUGAGAGGAUGAUCAGCCACACUGGAACUGAGACACGGUCCAGACUCCUACGGGAGGCAGCAGUGGGGAAUAUUGGACAAUGGGCGCAAGCCUGAUCCAGCCAUACCGCGUGGGUGAAGAAGGCCUUCGGGUUGUAAAGCCCUUUUGUUGGGAAAGAAAUCCAGCUGGCUAAUACCCGGUUGGGAUGACGGUACCCAAAGAAUAAGCACCGGCUAACUUCGUGCCAGCCGCCGCGGUAA